This 648-nucleotide long non-coding RNA is filed under the name Mytilus galloprovincialis (Mediterranean mussel). The record is from RNAcentral. Lineage: Eukaryota; Metazoa; Mollusca; Bivalvia; Mytilida; Mytilidae.
AAAAAAGGUGUCAGCCUUCUAUUUUAAUUGUUGUUCCAUGAAUAACUUGAUUGCAUAAUUGAUUGAAUAAGUUUUGUCUAUUUGUGCACUUGUAAAAUUUGGAGAUUUUUAAAUUCUUUUAAGACAUCUGUUAAGUGUGAUUUCCUAGCUGUAUAUUUACUGUCCUUUUCUUCAAAUUUGUGAACUAUUCUAAUCCUUUUGAUGUACUAAUAAUGGUCAAUUUUUAUCAAGUGAUAAAGUCAGAAAUGCAUAUAAGCCAAAGUCAUUUAGAAUAUAUCCAUUCAGAAAUUACCACACUGGGGCGAUCAUGAUAAGAUAGACAAGUCUAGUAUCAACAUCUAGGACUUGACCAUUAAAUUUUCUUGCGUUAAAGCAAAGUAGGUAAAGUAACAGGUAACAGUUAUUGAAAGACGUGCAUUCUUUUUAUUUUCAGUACAGGAUCGAAAAUUCCCAGUUUCUACCUCUUUGUGCUGAGUUAAUCCACCUUUUUUGUACAUUUUUUGAAGUUUGUUUUAAUUGACUUUGUCACUGCUUAAUUUUGUAAGAAAUUGUUAUAAAAUGAAUAAAAUGUUGCUGUUUUCAGUUGUGUUUUUCAUUCAAUACCUGAUUAAGAUAACCGUAAUUUUGAUUGUGAGCCCACAACUGUUG